UGUCCUCAUUGCUCCUGCUUUUACCUGCUUCAUACAGUUUAUCUUAGGGAGGACCUGGCAUUGUCUCAAAAAGGGAUGUGAGUCCCCAGUGUCUCAAAAUGGGAUGUGAAUCCCCACAAUGUCCCCAGAUGAGAUGUCAUCUGGUUUGAUACCACUAUCUUCACAGAGCCCACUGCAGUGGGUUUCACUUGCUAGCCUGAAUCCAAGCC
Plectropomus leopardus (leopard coralgrouper) is the source of this 209-nucleotide non-coding RNA. Lineage: Eukaryota; Metazoa; Chordata; Actinopteri; Perciformes; Serranidae. The record is from RefSeq and is a predicted model, not a curated record.